Molecule: unclassified non-coding RNA, 233 nt
Filed under: plant metagenome
Description: partial contains small subunit ribosomal RNA, internal transcribed spacer 1, and 5.8S ribosomal RNA
Source: RNAcentral
UCUCCGUUGGUGAACCAGCGGAGGGAUCAUUACCGAGUUUAUCUACUCCCAAACCCCUGUGAAAUUAUACCUUUACUGUUGCUUCGGCGGGUGAACGCCCCGUAAGGCGCAAAAAGCCCCCGGAGCCAGGCGCGCGCCGGGGGAACCAAACUCUUGUAUGUCUUACUUUGCAUGUCUUCGUGGAAACAUAAACAAAUGAAUCAAAACUUUCAACAACGGAUCUCGUGGUUCUG